GCGAGGUGGACUUCGCGGUCCUGCCUCGUUUUUCUCCUUCACGGGAGAGAACCCGCCGCAUUUUCUGUCUACCUUGAAAAAAUUAGAGUGCUAAAGGCAGGCUAAAACCCCGAGCCUGAAUAUUUCGUGCAUGGAAUAAGCGGGGAUGCUCUUUUCCGGAGGGCGGUCCGACCGACUGGCGACGUCGCUUUCGCUGUCGGUUUCGCCGGAGAGCUAGGAUUCGAGAGGAACGGUGGGGGGCGAGCGUACCGGGCGGGGAGAGGUGAAAUUUUGUGAUCCGCUCGGGACGACUCGAAGCGAAAGCGCUGGCCCCGGACGUCUUCCUUAAUCCAGAACGAAGGUGGGUGGAGCAAAGACGAUCAGAUACCGUCGUAGUACCGACGGUAAACGCUGCCGACCGGGCCGCGGACGAGGCUCGAGAACAGCGGUUAUGGACCCGUCCGUGGCGGCUUCGGGCAACCUGAGAGUUUACGGGUUCCGGGGGUAGUAUGGUCGCAAGGCUGAAACUUGAAGGAAUUGACGGAAGGGCACCACAAGGAGUGGAGCCUGCGGCUUAAUUUGACUCAACACGGGGCAACUUACCCGGUCCGGACAUCGUCAGGAUUGACAGACGCUCGUGCAGUUCUUUCUCGAUUCGAUGGGUGGUGGUGCAUGNCCGUUCGUGGCUGGUGAAGUGAAAAGUCUGGUUUAUUCCGCUAACGGGCGAGGCCUCGCCCUUAACUAGUCGGCUCGUGGUUCUCGAAUCGUAGUCUCCCUUCGGGGAGCAGGGAGAACAUCGGGCGAGUCGCAGCGAUCGUCGCUACUUCUUAGGGGGAUCCCGAGCAAGCUUAAGCUAGGUGAGAGAGAUCAAUAACAGGUCAGUGAUGCCCUUAGAUGUCCGGGGCCGCACGCGCGCUACACUGAAGACGAAAGCGCGAGUGCCUACGGUCUUGGUUUGGUCAGGCCGGGAACCCGCCCCGAGAGGGGAGGUUGGGGCUGUUCCUUCACGGGGGCAGUCUCGCCUACUGCGGGUUAACCGUGCCAAUCGUCUUCGUGCUGGGGAUCGGGGCUUGCAACUCAGCCCCGUGAACGAGGAAUUCCGAGUAGGCGUCCGUCAUCAGCUGGCGCCGAUUAAGUCCCUGCCUUUUGUACACACCGCCCGUCGCUACCUCCGAUAGAAUGGCUAAGCGAGGCCGUUGGACUGGGCCUGCUUUCGAGUGGGCCCGGAAAGGCGUUCGAGCUUAAUCAUUUAGAGGAAGUAAAAGUCGUAACAAGGUUUCCGUAGGUGAACCUGCGGAAGGAUCAUUA
This 1287-nucleotide non-coding RNA is filed under the name Lottia gigantea (owl limpet). Its description in RNAcentral is "Eukaryotic small subunit ribosomal RNA". It matches the Rfam family "Eukaryotic small subunit ribosomal RNA", at positions 684 to 1831 of the family's 1831-position model. Lineage: Eukaryota; Metazoa; Mollusca; Gastropoda; Lottiidae. The record is from Rfam by way of RNAcentral.